AGAGUUUGAUCCUGGCUCAGAACGAACGCUGGCGGCGUGCCUAACACAUGCAAGUCGAACGGACUUUAAGACUUCGGUUUUAAAGUUAGUGGCGCACGGGUGAGUAACGCGUGGAUAUCUGCCUAUCAGUGGGGGACAACUACAGGAAACUGUAGCUAAUACCGCAUAAGCUGUACGCAGGAAAGCAGGGGACCUUCGGGCCUUGUGCUGAUAGAUGAGUCCGCGUCUGAUUAGCUAGUUGGUGGGGUAAAGGCCUACCAAGGCGAUGAUCAGUAACUGGUUUGAGAGGAUGAUCAGUCACACUGGAACUGAGACACGGUCCAGACUCCUACGGGAGGCAGCAGUGGGGAAUAUUGCACAAUGGGGGAAACCCUGAUGCAGCGACGCCGCGUGCGGGAAGAAGGCCUUAGGGUUGUAAACCGCUUUCAAUUGGGAAGAAGAGAUGAGGAUUAAUACUCCCUCUGAUUUGACGGUACCUUUAGAAGAAGCACCGGCUAAUUUCGUGCCAGCAGCCGCGGUAAUACGAAAGGUGCAAGCGUUGUUCGGAUUUACUGGGCGUAAAGAGAUCGUAAGGUGGUUUGUUUAAGUCGGAUGUGAAAUCCCGGGGCUCAACCCCGGAACUGCAUUCGAUACUGGCAGACUAGAGUUUGGGAGGGGUAAGCGGAAUUCCGUGUGUAGCAGUGAAAUGCGUAGAUAUACGGAGGAACACCUGAGGCGAAGGCGGCUUACUGGACCAAUACUGACACUGAGGAUCGAAAGCGUGGGUAGCAAACAGGAUUAGAUACCCUGGUAGUCCACGCCCUAAACGAUGUCAACUAGCCGUAGCGGGUAUCGACCCCUGCUGUGGCGAAGCUAACGCGAUAAGUUGACCGCCUGGGGAGUACGGUCGCAAGAUUAAAACUCAAAGGAAUUGACGGGGGCCCGCACAAGCGGUGGAGCAUGUGGUUUAAUUCGACGCAACGCGAAGAACCUUACCUGGGCUUGAAGUGUGCAGGACAGGUCUUGGAAACUUGACCCUCCCUUCGGGGCUUGCAUAGAGGUGCUGCAUGGCUGUCGUCAGCUCGUGUCGUGAGAUGUUGGGUUAAGUCCCGCAACGAGCGCAACCCUUGUCUCUAGUUGCCAGCGCGUAAUGGCGGGAACUUUAGAGAGACUGCCGGUGACAAACCGGAGGAAGGUGGGGAUGACGUCAAGUCCUCAUGGCCCUUACGUCCAGGGCUACACACGUGCUACAAUGGCCGGUACAAUGGGUCGCCAACCCGCGAGGGGGAGCUAAUCCCAAAAAACCGGUCGUAGUUCGGAUUGGAGUCUGCAAUUCGACUCCAUGAAGCCGGAAUCGCUAGUAAUCGCGGAUCAGCACGCCGCGGUGAAUACGUUCUCGGGCCUUGUACACACCGCCCGUCACACCACGAAAGUUGUUUGUACCAGAAGUCGGUGAGCCAACCCGCAAGGGAGGCAGCCGCCCACGGUAUGAGCGAUGAUUGGGGUGAAGUCGUAACAAGGUACCCGU
This 1507-nucleotide ribosomal RNA is filed under the name uncultured bacterium. RNAcentral's name for it is "bacterial SSU rRNA". It matches the Rfam family "Bacterial small subunit ribosomal RNA". The record is from RNAcentral.